AACAAAAUGCCCCCAACAAAUAAAGGGCAUGACCGUGUUUUCCAUUUCAUUAAGGACUUGUGGGGCUAAAUUAAGUCCAACACUUCACAAUUAGAAAGCAAUUAAUUCAUUCCCAAAUCCAAAUUUCUAAAACUGCUGUUGGCACUUCAGUUGUUUGUAAUUCUUUCGGUGUUGGUGUCACAAAUAUUUGUUGUGAACUUGUCAAUAUAAACUCAGAAGGGAAAGAAGAUACAACAGGUUGAGAAGGUAUUCAUAAUCUGCCCUGACCUUCUCGUUCCUUCAAAGGCCGAAAUGACGUGAACCACUGCUUCCAAGGGGCAUCUUUUUGUUGCUCGAUCCAUGACAAGAAAGCACUGUCUAACAAGCAGAACAUAUUGACAUAGAGGAGUUGGUACCUCACUGGCACA
Molecule: unclassified non-coding RNA, 407 nt
Filed under: Hevea brasiliensis (rubber tree)
Lineage: Eukaryota; Viridiplantae; Streptophyta; Magnoliopsida; Malpighiales; Euphorbiaceae
Source: RNAcentral